AUCCUUUCACUUCAUAUAAGAUUUAAAUGAUAAAUUGUUCGUCAGUUUGCUAUUAGAACCUGUCUAUCACAUUCAUCCUAUAUAAGGCUAAUUAAAUUAGUAGGCUACCAUUUUAAACUUCCAAUGUCGAGAAAAACUUUAUAUACAUAGUGUAGCACAAAAUACAUAUGUACUUGACAGAGUUGAAGAGAAGAUUGAUCUUGAGUUUCAAUUAUCCUCAAAACAAAACAGCUACAAGAAAAGAAAAGAAAUUAUCACAAGUACGGAGCCC
This 271-nucleotide long non-coding RNA is filed under the name Solanum tuberosum (potato). Its description in RNAcentral is "long non-coding RNA (STUB_LNC002491)". The record is from RNAcentral. Lineage: Eukaryota; Viridiplantae; Streptophyta; Magnoliopsida; Solanales; Solanaceae.